GCGUGAGUGAUGAAGGUUUUAGGAUCGUAAAGCUCUGUCAGUGGGGAAGAAACUAUUGUCGGAUAAUACCCGGCAGUACUGACGGUACCCACAAAGGAAGCACCGGCUAACUCCGUGCCAGCAGCCGCGGUAAUACGGAGGGUGCAAGCGUUGUUCGGAAUUAUUGGGCGUAAAGCGCGUGUAGGCGGUUGUUUAAGUCUGGUGUGAAAGCCCGGGGCUCAACCCCGGAAGUGCAUUGGAUACUGGGCAACUUGAGUACGGGAGAGGAAAGUGGAAUUCCGAGUGUAGGGGUGAAAUCCGU
This 301-nucleotide ribosomal RNA is filed under the name uncultured bacterium. RNAcentral's name for it is "bacterial SSU rRNA". It matches the Rfam family "Bacterial small subunit ribosomal RNA", at positions 399 to 691 of the family's 1533-position model. The record is from RNAcentral.